GAUGAAGAACGUAGCGAAAUGCGAUACUUGGUGUGAAUUGCAGAAUCCCGAGAACCAUCGAGUCUUUGAACGCAAGUUGCGCCCGAAGCCAUCAGGUUGAGGGCACGUCUGCCUGGGCGUCACAUAUCGUUGCCCAAUGCCUAUUGCAGUGCAAUAGGAAUUUCUAGGGCGAAUGAUGGCUUCCCGUGAGCGUUGUUGCCUCGCGGUUGGUUGAAAAUCGAGUCCUUGGUAGGGUGUGCCAUGGUAGAUGGUGGUCGAGUUAGAACGAUACCGAUCAUGUGCAUGCUCCCCAAAAUAUGGCCUCUAUGACCCACACGCGUCUUUUGACGCUCAUGACGAGACCUCAGGUCAGGCGGGGCUACCCGCUGAAUUUAAGCAUAUCAAUAAGCGGAGGA
Molecule: unclassified non-coding RNA, 395 nt
Filed under: soil metagenome
Description: partial contains 5.8S ribosomal RNA, internal transcribed spacer 2, and large subunit ribosomal RNA
Rfam family: 5.8S ribosomal RNA (bases 1-122)
Source: RNAcentral